RNAcentral lists this ribosomal RNA (752 nucleotides) under uncultured bacterium. Its description in RNAcentral is "bacterial SSU rRNA". It matches the Rfam family "Bacterial small subunit ribosomal RNA", at positions 60 to 791 of the family's 1533-position model. The record is from RNAcentral.
AGUCGAACGCGAAAGGGGCUUCGGCCCUGAGUAGAGUGGCGAACGGGUGAGUAACACGUGGGUGACCUGCCCUCGAGUGGGGGAUAACAUCCCGAAAGGGGUGCUAAUACCGCAUGACAUCCUGUCUUUGAACAGAUGGACAUUAAAGCCGGGGAUCGCAAGACCUGGCGCUCGAGGAGGGGCUCGCGUCCGAUUAGCUAGUUGGUGGGGUAAUGGCCUACCAAGGCGACGAUCGGUAGCCGGCCUGAGAGGGCGGACGGCCACACUGGGACUGAGACACGGCCCAGACUCCUACGGGAGGCAGCAGUGGGGAAUUGUUCGCAAUGGGCGCAAGCCUGACGACGCAACGCCGCGUGGAGGAUGAAGAUCUUCGGGUCGUAAACUCCUCUCGAUCGGGACGAAUGGCUGGUGGUCUAACACAUCAUCAGAGUGACGGUACCGAGAGAAGAAGCCCCGGCUAACUCCGUGCCAGCAGCCGCGGUAAUACGGGGGGGGCAAGCGUUGUUCGGAAUUACUGGGCGUAAAGGGCGCGUAGGCGGCCUGCUAAGUCGGAUGUGAAAUCCCUCGGCUCAACCGAGGAACUGCAUCCGAUACUGGCGGGCUUGAAUCCGGGAGAGGGAUGUGGAAUUCCAGGUGUAGCGGUGAAAUGCGUAGAUAUCUGGAGGAACACGGGUGGCGAAGGCGGCAUCCUGGACCGGUAUUGACGCUGAGGCGCGAAAGCUAGGGGAGCAAACGGGAUUAGAUACCCCGGU